AGGCGCAGCCGCAGCCGCCCGGGCCCGGCCUGAUAUUCGGUGGAGAGCCGCAGCUGCCCGCCGCGGGGCCCCAGGCGCAGCACGCUCUCGCGCGUGGGCCGCAGCUGGCAGCACAGGAAGUCCAGGUGGAAGAGCGGCGGCGUGGGCGGCCCGGCGCGGCGCGGCGAGUGCGGGCUGGUAUCGGCCGAGCUCGCUUUUUCUGGGGACAGAGAGUGAGGCCUGGACACCCGGCGCCGGCCCAGGCCUGGCCGCGGGGAGCCGAAGGGCGACGAGUCCGGCGACGAGGCCGUGUCGCUGUCGGGGGCCCGGCAGAGGCGCAGGUCCGGGGCGGAGACGUGCAGCCGGGACUGCGCCGCGGGGAGUCCCCCGGCCGGGGCAGGUGGCGGCCCGUGGAACAGGGAUUCCCGCCGGCGCGUGUGCGGGCUCUCGGGCAGGAAGGCCCAGCCUUCGCGGCCCGCCAGGGCCGAGAGGGUCCAAAUCCCGUCUCAGAUGGGAGUGCUCGGCGGAGCGGGGCUGGGCGAGGAGCGCAGAGGAGUCAGAGGCUAGUCAAGUGAAGCAAUGGGAGUGGAGAUGGAACAAAGAAAUCUGCAAUUGGUUGUGAUCAAUUAGUUGUAAACACUACUGCACUUGGACCAACCUCUUCCUUUUCCUGACUGCUUAGGAAGGAUGGAAUGUAUUUCCUUCCUUCUGGGAGUGUUUGAAUGAAGAUUAGACUCUCCUUGACCAUGAAUGAAGAGCAACCAGUUUUUUAGUAUACAGUGAUUUAGACUCUGGGUCUAGAGUGUAGAUAUCAUGGGCACUGUGAAAGCACAGAAGGAGAAAAGGUUUUUAUUUUGGUGGGGCUUUGUGUCUGAAUUCUGGCCAAUGGAACCACGUGGAGGCCUGGCCCAGAACAUCUCCCUGUGGAUUCUCUCAUCUGGCAACUGGAUGCCUACACGAAGGGUGAUUUUGGAGUCAUGUGUUGGAGAUCACAAAGCUUUUGUCAGCCAGGUUCCUGAAUGACUGCUAGACACCAUGGGCUGAACUUUAUGAGCUCCAGCACCACCUCCAGCCUUCAGUGACUGUCUGGAGCAGGCAUCCGGAUGGAAGAGAAGGGGGACAACCAUGAACUUGGUGACCCACGGUCAGCCUGAUUUCCCUUGUGGACACAUUUAUGCCCAGUGUGCAUUCCUCCUGAGGUCUGUUCCAAGUCUGGAGGCAGCAGAGUAGAGUGGAGAGAACAGUGGACUUGGAAUCUCACCUCCCAGAUUAGAGUCCUGGAUCUGACUUUGAUUGCUGGUGCUGCCUCGGGCAAGUUACUUUAGCUGUGUGCAUCUCCAUUUCCCCAUGGAUAGAACAUGGGUUUUGGGUAGAAGUGUCUGAUAGCUGUACUGUGCUUUACGGUUCAUGAGCACGCACACAUAGGCCCAUAAUAUCAUAUCUCUGGUCACCCUGGCAGGUAGAUAUUAUUGCCCCAGGUUUCAGGUAAGAAGACUAAAGACCAGGGGUCAAUUGCUUGCUCAGAGUCCCACAGCCAGCAGCAGCCAGGCAGGACACCAAGUCAGAGUCUAGAUUCCGGAUCUUGCCCUCUUCCAAGUGUACCACAUUCUUCUCAAAGUGGCCUCUCAGGUCUUUUGUCCAGAAAAUUUUGAGACUUUGAUGAGAAGCCCAUAUCUGCACACUGGGGAUUAGGCCAGAUAACCCUGUGUGUCCUUCCAGGCCUGGUAUUGUGAGGCUGAAGCCUAGUGCCCCACACUCCCUUCCUCACCCCUUAGAGAAAGAUAGAGACUCCAGGGCCAGCCUGGUGGGUGCUGAACCUGCCCUGCUGAGCCAAGCCCAGGAGGCAGCCAAGGUCCUACCAGUGACCUUACCCUGGGGGCCCCUCCAGGUAGGAGCCUGGUUGGAAAAGACAGACCGACUUCUUCUGGGUUGGCUGGAAAAAGAUGACAUACUCAAAGCCUUGUCCUUCCACUUGGAUGCACCUGGUGAAGAUGCGACAGUCACCUUUGUCUGGGGAGAGAUAGGCAGUGUUGCAGCCGGAGAAGGGAGGGUAUGGUCAGGAUGCAGCACCAUUUGGUUGAGUCUUGCCUCUGGUACAAGAUUAAGGAGAGAAAACCAGAGGACACCAGGUCCACCCCCAGGGAGCCUUCCCUCUGGGAGCAGAGGCACAGUUGCUGUCCUCACAGAGCCUUUCUGUCUAGGGCAGAAACAUGCAGGAAGUGCCCUGGCUGAGAAUGGAGAUAGGAUCAGGGCCAGGGCAAGACUUUAAGAGACCAUAAGCAUUGAAAAUUGAAAAUGUAAUUACUCAUGUAACUCACAUAUAAUUCAAAAGAAUAAUAGUAAACAGUAAAAUA
RNAcentral lists this long non-coding RNA (2333 nucleotides) under Homo sapiens (human). RNAcentral describes it as "C2CD4D and THEM5 antisense RNA 1, transcript variant 1 (C2CD4D-AS1)". Lineage: Eukaryota; Metazoa; Chordata; Mammalia; Primates; Hominidae. The record is from RNAcentral.